UACGAAGGGGGCUAGCGUUGUUCGGAUUUACUGGGCGUAAAGGGCGCGUAGGCGGUGCGAUAAGUCAGGCGUGAAAGCCCCGGGCUCAACCCGGGAAUAGCGCUUGAUACUGUCGCGCUUGAAUCCAGGAGAGGAUGGCGGAAUUCCCAGUGUAGAGGUGAAAUUCGUAGAUAUUGGGAAGAACACCAGUGGCGAAGGCGGCCAUCUGGCCUGGAAUUGACGCUGAGGCGCGAAAGCCAGGGGAGCAAACGGG
This 253-nucleotide ribosomal RNA is filed under the name uncultured bacterium. RNAcentral describes it as "partial 16S ribosomal RNA". It matches the Rfam family "Bacterial small subunit ribosomal RNA", at positions 524 to 776 of the family's 1533-position model. The record is from RNAcentral.